Molecule: long non-coding RNA, 13715 nt
Filed under: Mytilus galloprovincialis (Mediterranean mussel)
Lineage: Eukaryota; Metazoa; Mollusca; Bivalvia; Mytilida; Mytilidae
Source: RNAcentral
GCGGUCAAGUGACCUCACACGACUUUUCUGUUCCUCGUGCUUAGACAAUAUUUUUUUGAAGUGUUUCGAAAAUUUGGAUUAUUAAUUUCGAUAUGGUUUUGAAAGCUUGGAGUAAUAUUGCGAAAAGGUAAGUUGGAGUGUAAAUAUAUUUUUCAUAGUUGCACUUUCAAUCUUUAUUAAAUUUGUUAUUGAUUUGACCCAAAUAAGUACCGUGUCGUGACCUUUACCCGUUUACCUGCCAAAGUUUGUAAACAAUGUACACAAAUUUAGCGUACAAGUGUUGAUGUACCUAUAUAUAUUGACACACACACACACACACACACACACACACACACACACACACACACUAAUAUAUCUGAAUUACCCACAUUAACAUUCAUAGUAAUAAUUAUUGUACAAACAAACUUCUGCACAUACAGUCAUACUUGUUCAACAUGAUACUUUUUUACACACAAAUUCCUUUCCAUAACUUUCACACAUACUUAUACCAUAGGCAUAGCACUUACAGAUGAUAACUUGCAUAGUCCAUUUAUAAUAAAGUAAAGAAAAAAAUCACAUACAAUCACACAUAAUCUAGAUAGCAUCUGGGUUUUUUUUUACUAUACAUGUAGCUUAAGUUAACUAUAAGAUGACUUCAUUAUUAUUCUUCAAAACUUUUUUAACACCUUUGCUAAUAAACUGCUGAUCUCUAUAUUGGUCAUACUAUAUAAUUCUACAGUAUUUUCUACCUCAUAUUCAAAAAUUCUUAAUGUGUCUACUGCUUUUGUUUUUUUAUUAGAAACAUAAUGUGUUUUAUAGACUGAAAAGAACAUUAAGCUAAGCAGAUGAUUUAGCGCAUAGUAUCCAUCGUUAUGAAUUUUGUAUCCUAUAACCAACGAUUGAAGACUUAUUACAUGUUCAUCUAUGAAGACUUUUUUUAGUCAAACUUUCGAUGAUUUCCCAGAAUGUUUUAUGAUAUGAACAUGUAAUGAAAAAAUGAUUUAUAAUAAAAAAUUGUUAAGUGAAAUUUUCCACUGAAAAAGCAGCACCUCAUUUGACAAAAUAUAGUGCAUUAGUUUCCACCUAAACAUUUUUAUUUUAUUAUCUUUAAGAUAUUCAAAAUUAAAUUUAAUCGAGUCUUUAAAUUCAUUUAUUAGUCUCCCUUUGCUUAAGACUAUUUCCCAUUUCAAAAAUCCUACUGGUAUUUCUGUUUUUUGACACACUUAAUACUUAUUUGUAUAUGUUUUUAGCAUUAAUAGUUAGAGCAUCAUUACAAUCUCUUAGUUUAGUUUUUGUUCGGUUGAUAUGGACUUUUGUUUUGAAUGAUUCUUCUGAUUUUAAUUUGUUUGUCCAUUGGUUUUGUAAAGAUUAGUUUAGUUUUGAGUAUUCAGAAAUCCAAUUCCUUUUAUUUCUGAAUUUUGAAGUAAUCAUCUUUUCUGAUAUAUUUCCUCUUUAUCUAUUAUGUCAUUUAUAUAUAUUGGCUGAAAUUUCGCAUAAUUCCCGGAUUUGGGUUUUUUUUCUUAAUCGAUUGAUAUAUAUGAAUUUCGACAGCAGUAUACUACUGUUGCUUUUAUUUAAAGAAAGAAAUAAUAUCGUUUAAUAAAUAUUAUUCGUCUGAAGCUUUUUUCGGGUUUUCCAUUAACUGGAACUCUCAAAGCCAAAUAUUUGAAAGUCUAGGACCUAUAAGAACUGAAACAAGACGAGCUCUGUGAUAAAAGAGACAUACGUGAUCUCUAUAUAACAUGUAUAUAAGGCAAACAAACAGUACAUUUACGCUCGGCUGUUUCUGAUGUAGUCGGAACCCUACGCUCUUGAAAAUCUCAUUUUAAUAAAUGGAUGCAUGAAAUAUAUCAUGUCAGUUCCGAAGCCCACAACUAAUAACAUGGCAGUUGUUUUCACGUGUAGGACUUUAAAAGCUUUACUAGUUAAUAAAUUCUUUUUUGUAAGACGUGUUUCCUUGUUUUUCUUGAUUUAUAUUUGUCGGGGACGCUUAAAUCCAAACAUCUCAGAUCUGUAAGUAGAUAUAGGAAGAGGUGGUAUGAGUGCCAAUGAGACAACUCUCCAUCCAAAUAACAAUUUACAAGUAAACCAUAAUAUGUCAAGGUAAGGCCUUCAACGGGGAGCCUUGGCUCACACCGAACAGCAAGCUAUAGAGGGCACCAAAAAUAGUAAUGUAAAAACCAUGAAUGUGUUAUUACUGAAACACAUACAGAGCUAUAUAACUAAACGGAACAUAAGAUUCAGUAAUGUUUCUAUAUUUUACAUCAAAAGGACGAAAGAUACCAGGAACAGUCAAACUCAUAGAUAAAAAAAGAAAACGGCAUGGCUAGAAAAUAAAACAGACAAAUGAUACUACACAAGACACAACAUAGAAAACUAAAGACUAAGCAACACGAACCCACCAAAAACUGGUGGUGAUCACAGGGGCUCAGGAGGGUCAGCAGAUCAUACUCUACAUGUGGCACCCAUCGUUAUGGUAGCACUCCACAGUUAGAAAAAAAAAAUCAAAAAUGAGCCACAAAAUGUUUAAUCAUCUCCUAUUCCUGGAUUUCUAAUACAUUAACCUAACUGUUUGUGUUGUACAUGUGCAUGUAUGUAAUCAGUAUAUUCCAUAGAUUUGAUUUUUAAAAGUUAAAAGAGUGAAAAUUAAUUCCUUUUAUGUGUAUCCAUGGCAACAUUCUGCAUUUAUUUACCAUAAAAUAUUGCAAAAAGGGGGGUGGACAUGUCACAUAUCCCCCAAAAUUUGGAUCAAACUAGAAUUUCAAUGCCUUUAAGUGAUACCUUUUUAGAAACUGUUUUCAUAAAUCUUCCUAAUGAUCAAAUACAAAAUGAGUGUCUUUCUCCUCAUUUUUUCGUAAAAUCCAAUUACAAAGUUCGUGCGAUAAAAAGUUGGAAAAAAAUAUUACAAUAAUUGCCGGACCAAUGUAUGGUGGACAUGCAACUACGGACUGUCAUACAGAAAACAGCUUAUAUUACAUGCAUUACAUAAUCUUGAUGUUAAUAUAAACCCAAUACAAAGGCUAUUUGAAUACUCAGCUAUCCAAAAAUGAAUUUUAUUGCACACUAGCUCUCAUAUUUGAAAAAUCCACAGGGGCCAAAAUGCGAAACUGCACACCUAACUGUGGAGUGCUACCUAUGGCGAUAUGAUGGCGAGUACUUACCGUAUUAGACAUGUUCACCAUAAGCCAUACCGAAACCAAAACCGAAACCGAUACCGAUACCGAAACCAAAAAUAGUAGUGAAGUAAAUGGUCAAUGUUUAUAAUGUUGAUUAACUUAACCUUUUUACUCCAUACUAUUGUUUGAAAUGUUAAUACACAAGACAGAAUAGAGGUGAAAGAUACCAGAGGGACAGUCACUUUUAUUACUUGAAUUCAUCAAUUCACAUGAAGCUAUAAAAAAUGUUAAAUUUCAACCAUUAUUAAAUACACUUAUGCAAGUUAUAUACAAUUUAAGAUGUUGAAACAAUUUAUCUAUGUUACACGUUAAUCACGAAGCAGGUCCUGUCGAAGGAAAGGAUCUAUACAUAGUUCUACAAUAUGUACAAUAUCUUUCCGAGCAAUAUAUUUAAAGAGGACCUGUAAUUUUAUCAAUUUGCAUUCGUUUUAUGGAAUGCCCUACAUAAUCGUUUCUUGCACAAAAGAGACAGAUUUGCGUUGAUCGCGGAUUAUUGCAUUUAGAUUGCGUAGCUACCUUACAGUAUAUGGUGUUGACAUUGGAUGUUCAGAUAUAUAUAUGUUAUCGCCAAGUAAGUAACAAUCAUGAGUCGACGGUAAUAUAUCGUGUGGACCGGUUGCAUCCAUCAAUCUGAUAGUCAUCGCGUCAUUCUUUUGAACUAGGAAAUUAUUUUAAGCAUCUUAUUUUAUUUGUUGCGUCUAUUAUGACUUGCGUUGAAUAGGUAACAUCACAAAUAUACCGAACACUGAGAGACACCCAAAACGGAAAGUCCAUAAUCAAAUGACUAAACAAAAAGCCCAACACACCAUAUUCUUGACUUGGUACAUUCAUUUUCUUAUAUAGAAAAUUGUGGAUUAAAUCUGGUUUUAUAGCUAGUUAAACCUCUCCUUGUGUGAAAGUCGCAUCAAAAUCUAAUAUAUUGUGUAUAUGACGAUGAAUAUAGUGUAUAUGCCAAUGAAUAUAAAGUAUAUGAAGAUGUUCUCUUUAAAACAAUGCCUGGUUUUCGGUUUGGCAAUGUAAGCUAUGGGAGGUGCCAUCAAUAGAUUUAACUGCUUCUUCCAAUUCUGACCAAUCACCUUUCAUAGAUUCCCAUUCUUCCACCGAAUGCCAUGUUAUCAUUGAUCGUUUGCUUGAUAAAGAAUUUGCCAAAUUACGUGAAUAGCUUUAUGAACUAAAGGUUUGCUAACAUCAAGCAUCAAAGCCAGUUGCGCAAAUGUAAGAUAAUUAUACUGAAAUAAAAAUGUUUGCCUUUUUAAGUAUAUGUUUUGGUUCAUUUGUAAAAGGUCCUCUUUAAAUAUAUAAGUAGGAACGAUAUUGCGCAUAUUGUAGAACUAUGUACAGUUCUUUCCCUUCGACGAAACUUGCUUCUUGAUAUUUUUACAUCAUAGGUAAAUUUGUACAAAUCUAAAUUGUAUAUUACUUGUAUUAGCGUAUUUAAUACUCGUUGAAUAUAACUUUGCUUUUAUGAUAGAUUCAUGUAAAUUGUUGAAUUGAAGUAAUAUUAUAUCUGUGUAUUCAAAUCUCAAACAAUAUAAUGCAAAGGGUUGGGUUAAUUAAACAUUAAAACAUUUACCAUUUACCUCAUUACUAUGUUUGGUUUCGGUAUCGGUUACGGUAUCGGCUUAUGGUGAACAUGUCUAUUACAAAAACGUUUCUGUUUCUGGAUAGAAAUUGAAUAAGUUUAUAUUUUAGUAUUAUCAUUAUUUUGAGAACACCCUAUAAUGUACCGGAUUAUAAACCCAUAUCAUUUUGGUCUUUUCAAAUUUGUUAGAUAUGUAUUUUUUCAAUCAUUUAUAACAAAAAAAGUUGAAAUAAUAUGCAUGUUGUUCUUAAAACUGAGAAAAAUCUCAAAAAUACAAAAUUGACAGCAUGGUAAAUUUUACACAAAAAGCGUCAAAAUAUGAUAAAACUUUCUUAUAUUAAACUACCUAUAGUUUUUCUUUUAAAUUUAUUCAGAUUGGUCCACUUCAUCUUUGUAGAAAGUAUGAAAAAAAGUUUAAUUGUGGAACUGUGAUUUUUUUCAAGUUUAUAGCCCCAAAAAAGGUAAAAAUCGAUGAAAAACGGGAAAAUCAUCAAAAUUGGGCAUUUUCAAAGGGCCGUAGGAAAAAAAGAAGUGCACCACCAUAUGAUUUUUUCUUCACCAAUUGAUUUGUUACAGUCUUAUAAACCCAAAAAUCAGGCUAAGAAAAAAAGUUUAAUUGUAGAAUUUUUUGGCUCCUCAGAGGUAUACAUCCUUAAUAUAGCCUAUACACAAAUCAGAAUUAAAGACAGAUAAGAUGAUCAAAUCAAUCAUAGUAUUUUUAAAAAGACACAUAUGUCAACAGAACAAAUAUCAUUCGUUAGUGUCGAUCUUUUAAAAUCAUAUAAUAGACAAUUAUUUUUUUUUAAAAGAAAUAUAGUUCAUAACAACCUGUUCUGUUUCAUCCGUUAUAUCGUUCAUGUUCAUAGGUCAUAAACAUUAUAGUUUCAAAAGAGGGGUGAAAGAUACCAGAGGGACAGUCAGAGGGGCGAACAAUUCCAGAGGGACAGUCAGAGUGGCGAAAGAUACCAGAGGGACAGUCAAAGUGGCGAAAGAUACCAAAGGGACAGUCAGAGGGACAGUCAGAGGGGCGAAAGAUACCAGAGGGAUAUUCAAAGGGGCAAAAGAUACCAGAGAGACAGUCAAAGAAGCGAAAGAAAUCAGAGGGACAGUUAGAGGGGCGAAAGAUACCAGAUGGACAGUCAGAGGGGCAAGAGAUAACAGAGGGACAGUCAGAGGGGCGAAAGAUAUCAGAGGGACAGUUAGAGGGAUGAAAGAUGAUACCAGAUGGACAGUCAGAGGGGCAAGAGAUACCAGAUGGACAGUCAGAGGGGCGAAAGAUACAAGAGGGGCAGACAAAUAACAGUACACAUGACACAACAUAGUAAACUAAAGACUAAGCAACACGAACCCCAUGAAAACCUGGGGGUGAUCUCAGGUGCUCCGAAAGGAUAAGCAGAUUCUGCUCCAAAUGUGAAAGCCGUCGUGUGGCUAAUGAUAUUACAAACCCGGUAAAAAGCCUAAUUCGGCAGGUCAAAUUCAUUACAAGGGAAGGGGUUUGAUGUACUGAACAUAUUCGAAAGCAUCUGUGAAACGGUCAUUCCAUAGCAGUCAACCAACUCGUGAUGGCGUCCGUAAAAUUUACGAAGGGAUGAUUUCAACUUCACCAUUUGGAACUCUAGGUUCAAUAGCCUCUGGUGAAAUAUUUAGGUUCAAUGUAAUGGUUAACUCUUUUUUUCGUCUGAUAUAUUUUAUUGACUAGUUUCUCAUAUGCCUAAUAAGGACAUAUAUGCCCACGUUUGUUUUGCUAAACAAAAACACAUUCAUGUACGUUUGUUGUGCGCAUUUACUUCAUAUUAUGUAAUUUUAGUUCCGUAUGUAAUGGAUAUCAUGCAAUUCGAUAACAUUUUAAUUGGUUUAUUUUGCCUUUGUUAAUUUUAUUACAGCUGAUGAUAAAUACACGAUAUAUUACUUUUCCGAUCACAGCUUGCACUAUAAUUACUAAUUUAGAUAAUUCUACAUAAGGCUCACCAGUAGCGCUCAUAUCAAAAUUGUUCUAAAGCCAACGAAGUACAAAGUUAAAGAGCAUUGAGGUGCCAUAAUUCAAAAAAAAAAUGAGAAUGAAAUUGAGGAAUAUGUCAAAAAGACAACAACCCGACUAAAGAGAGUUGAACAGCCGAAAGCAACCGACGGGUCUUCAACGCAGCAAGAAAAUUUCACAUCCUAACUACAUUAAGGUACAGGGAUUUCAGAAGAAAAAGAAAAGAAAAACAUUAGUUUUGACGAGUAAUAGCAUCAAACCAUCAUGACGAAAUUUGUAUAUUUUUUUAAAUAGUUUGUAGUUUCCUUGUUUUACAGUCCCUUUUAAUACUCUGAUGCCAUGUUAUGCUUUAUAAUUAACCUAUAUCUUAAACAUUUGAAAAGCUGUUUCGUGAAGCAAGAUGCAAACAUUUUAAUAGUAUAAUAUUGUAAACUAUUAUAGUAGACAAUGUCUGCAUCUUGCACAGUCUAACCUAGUUAUGUCGAACUCGAAGGGACCGGACCAAAGUAUUCGACUCAUCAGGGGUUCGACUCAUCCGAGGUGGAGUGUGUCGUCAUAAAUUUUAAAUGCAUGAAAUACGGUAUGAAAUUUGUGUAAACUAGAUACAAUGAACAGUGUGCCUUUUUUUCUAUAUGACACUUUAUAAUUGUGUAUUCAAUCUCCAUAUUUGGUCAUUCGUAAUAAUUAAAAACACAAGAACAGAUACAAAUCAUGCACACGUAAAAUCAAUAAUCUACACAAAUAUUUACAAAGGUCAGUCGCUAUAACUUAUGAAAUCACUCGCGGCACGAAACAAGUUCUGAACGGUCUCUGAUGAGGUCGUCUGCUUUUCAUUAAAUUAUCAUGAAUUUAUUAUAAUUGUCCUAAUCCUUUUAUUUAUAGUAAUUUAUGAGUUUUAAAUCUCACGAUUCAUUUAAUUUUGGCUUGUGUCAUUUUAAUUCGUUUCGUUUUCAGGACCGAGAAAUUACUUCGACUCAUCCGAGUUUUUGACACAACCGAGUUCGACACAACGAGGUUGGACUGUAAAUAAAUCGUAUGAAUAUAUUAAAACCCAUCCUCAGUGAUGCAAGUUUACUCGACAAAAAGAUGGCCUAAAUAAAAAUACUUAAUAUUGGUUUCUUUGAUCAAGAAACGUCACUUUAAACAAAUGAUAAUAGCAAUAUUUUGUCUGUAUAUGAAGAAAUAACAUUAAAAUUGUAAUGCACAUAAAUAUCUGCGUAACUGUUUAUUUGAAAGGGCGUAUCACAGUUUUCAAAUUUGCAAAUAGACAGAAACAAUAUUAAGGUCACUCAUUAUAAUUUAUUGCUAAAGAGAAUGAAAUAAUGAUAAAAAUAUUGAUGACAUCGCGGUCACACGACAAAAUCAUGUAUAUGAGCUGAUAGGCAAAACACUUUCAGCCAUUUAAAAGACGUGUUACAUCCAAAAUUAAAUUAUAUACACAUAACAGAAGACGUUUCCACUCGUGCUGCUCAUGUUAGUAUAAACCCGGUAAUAAAUCUAAUUCGGUAGGUUACAUUCGUGAUAAGGGAACGGGAUUGUAGUUUCGACAUACAGAACUUUUCUUCAUUGUUGAAUGCAGUAUGAUGACCUAUAGCUGUUAAUUUCUGUGUCAUUGUGGUCUCUUGGGGAGAGAGGUCUCAGUUGAAAUCAUACAACAUCUUUUUCUUUUUUAGACAUAACCGCUGUCAUCUGUGAAACGGAUUUUCCGUAACGAUCAACCAACUCAUAUGGUUCAUGGUACGACCUAUGACCAUUAGCAAACACCUAUACAGAGUAAUUAGCAAUACGAAUGUCUAGUUUAUGAUAUGACUUUUGACGAAUGACCAAACGGCUGAAUAAGCAAAACUAAAUAUACAUCGACAGGACAAAUUCAGAAGAAUUCAAAUGAAAAAUUCAUCGCCCUGAUAUAUUUGAAAAACAAGGAAAUAUGACUCACAGCGACACGGGACUGAAUUACAGGCUCCAGACUUAGGAAACACACACACAGGUUAUUACUUACUUACCGACUGGCACAGUGACCGAUUCAAUAAUGAACAAAACAACUAGAUAUUUAAUACAUAUUAACUUUAAAUUCGUAUAAAGCUUUUUUUAUUUCAACAGUUCACCUAAACAUGUAGUAGAAUACUUACUGUAUAUGGUUUACACUUGAUAUGAUAUGCACAGCUGUGAAGUUGCACUGACGCUACUACAGAAGAUUAAUCACUUACAUAUAAAUUAUUGUAGUUGCAUUUACUUUACUUAGGUCAAUCAAUGUGAGUAUUGAAGAAGGUAUAGUGUAUCAAUAUAAUUUACAUAAUUAAAUAUGUGUGAAUAUGUAACCAUCCUAAAAUACCUUAAUCUGUGUUUUCAUAUGACAUUAAAAUGUUAUAUAAAAUGUAAGCCGUUGUAGUGGGCAUUCUUUCGUGUUUGCAAUAUGAUUUUUUCGUUUCUAGGUCAUUACAAUUUUGCCAACUGUAAUGGCUUAUGAUAUAUGGGAUACAUCAUAACAAUAUGAAAAUGUACCAUUUGUAGUAUGAAGUUACGUAAAAUAUAAUAUCCUAGAAUGGAAAGUUGAUAUUCACUUCUUGUCUAUUUAAAGAUCAAAACAUAAACCGGUGCGGCAUAAUUUCACCAUGUAUAUGUCCCGAACUUCUAAGAAUUCAAACUUACUGUAGAUUAAUUAUAACGUGUUGGAUACCUAUUUCCGUAGAUUUUGUUGGUACAAGUGAACCACGAAAUUAAGGGAUCAACGAAUGACAAUUUCAUAUAGACCGAAAAUAAAUUUAUCCACAGUAUUCUAAAGUUCUGCACUACCCCUUCAAUCACUUUGGGUCUUCCUUAAAAUUCAGUGUGCCCGUUACAUGUACCUUUAUACUAGUAACAUCCCCUUAUUAGUCCCUACGAGAGGAAACAUAUAAUGUAACAUGCCCAUUGCCAUCUGUGACACAGGUCUACCAUACUGUCAAACAACUCGUGAUGGCAUCAUUAAAAUUUUCUAAGUUGGUUUCACAUUCAACAGUUAGAUUCUUGGUUCCACAGUUUCCUCAUAAAACAACUUGCUUUUAACGAAAAAUCAUUAUGCGAAAUACAAGCCGUGUAGUGUCAUUUCAAUUGGCAAGUUGAAUAUAUACUCAAACAGGUGCUGUUUGAAAGUUGUCACAAGAAAGAAACUGCAAUCAUAUGUUUUAUCCUAAAGGUUUUUUCUUGACUGACCCUAAAAGUUACUUCCUGGAUGUAUGUAAUCAUAUGAUGCAGAUUGAGCUGUAUCUAUUGUAUCUUUUAUUUUCGUUCGAUGUGAUACAAGUGUUCAACAUAGUCACCACCCUUUAUUCUGUUAAAGAAUAUCAUCUAUUUAGCUGAACGUGAAGCUGAAUGAUAAUGAUCCAUUCCUUCUUGGAAGCUUCUGUUUGAAAACAACCUCGUGGAAAUGGAAAAAAAAACAAGUCGAAAAUAAGAGGGGCACAGUUGAUUUCUAUGCGAUUGCAUAUUGUGUGACCCCAAACAUAAACAAUAUGCUGUCAACCAAGACAUCAAGCAUCUUGAAAAUAUCAGUUUAAAAGAACAAUAAAACAUGUCCUUGAAAAAAUAUCUUGCAAAAUACGAACCAUCGAAGAUUUAUCAAAGUACAGACGAGGAAGCUAUAACAUUAUGAAUGAUUAUUGCAAACAUACUAUUAUGUUUGCUGUUCGUGUUAGUCAUUACAAAAUUGUACAAUUAGAACAAAACAAAAACUAAAAAGAAAUGUUACUUGAACUUGUUUGACAUGACUUGAAGGGUGGAUGAAAUAUUUGGGUUAUUAUUUUUUUAUCGUUUACACAGUUGCAAUUUUCAAACUGGUGAUAAGACUCCUUAAAAGAACUGUUAUACCACUGUCCCAGGUUAGGGAGAGGGUUGGGAUCCCGUUAACAUGUUUAACCCCGCCACAUUAUUUAUGUAUGUGCCUGUCCCAAGUCAGGAGCCUGUAAUUUAGUUGUCGUUUGUUUAUGUGUUACAUAUUUGUUUUUCGUUCAUUUGUUUUACAUAAAUAAGACCGUUAGUUUUCUCGUUUGAAUUGUUUUACAUUGUCUUAUCGGGCCAUUGUAUAGCUCACUAUGCGGUAAGGGCUUUGCUCAUUGUUGAAGGCCGUACGGUGACCUAUAGUUGUUAAUGUCUGUGUCAAUUUGGUCUUUUGUGGAUAGUUGUCUCAUUGGCAAUCAUACCACAUCUUCUUUUUUAUAUAUUCUUUAUUUUUUUUGUUUGUUUCUUUAUGUAUAAUCAUUCACAAUUAAAGAAAACAAAAUGCAAUUUAUCAAUUAUCAAUCCAAUAAUACAAAACAAAAUAAAUAACAAAUAAAUAAAUAAGUUGUUUUCUAACUAAAUAAUUCUGGUAACAUACUUUUAUAUAAGCAGAUCAUUUUUUAAUCUCGUCGAAAUGUAAGUGUUACAUAUACAUGUAUCUAAAUCCUUGUUAUUUGGAUAUAUUUUAAUACUGGCACAAUACCUAUUGUAGCUUUUUCAUUGUCCUUCACUGCUGUGUUGUUUUUGACAUUUUUUAGAAACGUUGUUAAACAUGUUGUAACAAUAAAAAGUUAUUGUACUUUUAUAUUUGUACCAACCAGCUGUUUCGUGCACAAAAUAUAUAAAAUUGAACUGAAUCUUGAUUAUCGUUAACAUCCCCAAAAAGCAACUUCAAAGUGAAGUGUUAAACACAAAUAUUACAGACAUGAAUUUAUUCGGAAUCAUAGUCCUUGUCGCUCUGUUGAUGGUGGCUUCAGUUACUAUGCCAGUUGGUAAGUAGAAUUGUUGGUACCAUUAAUACGCUUAAUCCCGCUGCAAAUGUUUGCACCUAUCCUGAGUCAGGAAUCUGAUGUACAGUAACUGUCGUUUGUUUAUGUAAUUUAUACAUAUUUCUCGUUUCUCUUUUUCAUAUAUAUAGAUAAGACCGUUGGUUUUCCUGUUUGAAUAGUUUUACACUAAGAUUUUUUGGACCCUUUACAGAUUGUUGUUCGGUAUGAGCCAAGGCUCCGUGUUGAAGGCCGUACAUUGACCUAUAAGGGUUUACUUUUAUAAAUUGUUAUUUGGAUGGAGAGUUGUCUCAUUGGCACUCAUACCACAUUUUCCUAUAUCAAUAGACUGAAAAGAUGUGUUUGAAUCAAAACUCACUAGUUACAAGUAUUUUUGGUUUGAUCGAAUUUGCAUGAUGAAUGUUAAUGACGAAUGCACAUCAAGAGACCCAUAAUCUGAAGAUGCAACUGGUUUAGUUCCAAUUGUAAUGAAUACAAUGCCCUCAAUUUUAGUUAGUUAAUAUAAUUGCGAAUGGAAAUGAGGGAGUAUGUCAAAAGUCCAAACAUUUGAUUGUCACCUACUUAUGGACUUAUGAUUGAGCAUCGAUAAACUAUAUUGUAGUCUUUAUUAAAAGUAAAAUCACAAAAAUACUGAACUCAGAGGAAAAUCAAUUCGGAAAGUCCAUAAUCACAUGGCAAAAUCAAAUAACAAACGCAUCAAAAACGAAUGGACAAGAACUGUCAUAUUCCUGACUUGGUACAGGCAUUUUCAAAUGUAGAAAAUGGUGGAUUGAACCUGAAGAUGUCAAUCGCAUUUCUUGGUUUGGUUCGUUUUCAUUUAAACUUGACAUGUAUAUGUAAAGGACAUAUGUUUACUUGCUUGUCAGAGUAAUUGUAACACAAAGAUAUAAAUGUAUACAUUAUUCAUAUAAUUUUUAAUUUCAGAUGCCUAUGGAAUAUAUAACAGAAGGAGUAAAAGUAAAGGAGGAAGUUCUGGUGGAGGGGUGAGUGAACAUUUUUAUUAUUUAUUCAAGCAAUUAAGGAAACUGCUUUUGUUAUCAUUGUUCUGAAUGCACAUGCCUUUCAUAUUUAAAUACAUGUAAACAAAAUGUAAUGAUGGAUUGUGUAUGACUGGUUAAUUUUGAAUAAAUAUAUACAAAAAUUAAAAUGACAAAAAUAUCAAAACGACAACCAAGAACUGUUAAACACAUAUUUGGAAGUAGGGUUACACAAUUGGUUUACCUCUUAAUGCUCCGAAUGAAUGAACAUGUGAGCAGGUUAAAACUGCUACAUUUUAUGUUGUUAAUACAAACAAAGAUCGGCAUUCAGCUUGAAUUAGAGACGGCAGUAUGCAUAUGUAUCAAAUCAACAAAUUUUUACAAAAUAUUGGCGUUAUUUAACUCAUGUUAAACCCCAAUUAUUUAUUUCAAAUGAAAUAUUUGAUUGUGAGAAUUAAUUUUAGUGCCCAACAAGUUUGUGUGAUAACUAAGAUUAAAAGAGAUGAUAUAUUCACACUGGUCGGUCGACAAAAAAUAGAAGUGCCAUGACUAACUGACUGUAGAUUUAUAAUUAAGCUGAAUGGUCAUAUUUUGAUUUCAUUGACUUAUUGAGUUAGUAAGAGUUCAAUUUGAAUAAAGCCAUCCUGACAAUAGUUAUCAAAGGUACCAGGAUUAUAAAACUGUAAACUGCUACUUUCCAGAUCCGUUAAGUCACACAAGUAUUUUAUCAUGUUUAGACGUACAUGCAUUAUUUUCCAAUGUUUCUCUUCGAAAUAAUAUCGAAUGAAAGCAUAUUAAAGUUAUUUUAUUUUAAUUAACAAUCAUGAUAUCUUAACCUUCGCUUAGUUGAUUCAUAAAUAAUAAAACAAACACAAUAUAAUUCAAACUGGAUCAAAUAAACUCAUCAAAGAUACCAGAACUAAAUUUUGUAUAUACGCUAGACGUGCGUUUCGUCUACAAAAGGCUCAUCAGUGACGCUCAAAUCUAAAAAAGUUAGAAAGGCCAAAUAAAGUGCGAAGUUGAAGAGCAUUAAGGACCAAAAUACUGCAAUACAUCUUAUUUUUAGAAACUUAGUGGCAAUGUAAUUUAGUGAGUUCGAACGUUAAUAACCUACUGAAUUAAACAUAACGUAUUACCAAUAAUCAUGUUAAAGCUAAUCAUACACUACGGAAAUGAUCUCUUUCUUAAAUAUAUCUCAAUUAUUUUACAGAGCAGUGGUCAUGGUGGUAAAUAUGGUAAAUAUGGUGGUAAAUAUGGCGG